This 31-nucleotide non-coding RNA is filed under the name Macaca fascicularis (crab-eating macaque). Lineage: Eukaryota; Metazoa; Chordata; Mammalia; Primates; Cercopithecidae. The record is from RNAcentral. RNAcentral also lists the same sequence under 1 other name.
UCAUUCAUUUGCAAAAUGUGUGUGUCUGGGG